CUUUUAUUCACGUCUAAAGAGUGUUUAAAGAACAAGAAUAAGUUUCUUCCUUUACAGACACUUCAUAUAGCUUCAACUUCUAGCUCCUACGGAGAAUAAAUUUUUUUAAAAAAGAAACAAAAUAUUUCCUGUUCCUGUAAAAAGCAAACCCAUCAAAAUCCUUCCUUUCUUUUUUUUUAAAAAAAACUGCAUUGUAGUAAGCAAUUAUAAUUAAUGGCUUCCACAAGUAACC
This 232-nucleotide unclassified non-coding RNA is filed under the name Hevea brasiliensis (rubber tree). Lineage: Eukaryota; Viridiplantae; Streptophyta; Magnoliopsida; Malpighiales; Euphorbiaceae. The record is from RNAcentral.